AUACGUAGGGUGCGAGCGUUGUCCGGAAUUACUGGGCGUAAAGAGCUCGUAGGUGGUUUGUCGCGUCGUCUGUGAAAUUCCGGGGCUUAACUCCGGGCGUGCAGGCGAUACGGGCAUAACUUGAGUACUGUAGGGGAGACUGGAAUUCCUGGUGUAGCGGUGAAAUGCGCAGCUAUCAGGAGGAUCACCGGUGGCGAAGGCGGGUUUCUGGGCAGUAACUGACGCUGAGGAGCGAAAGCAUGGGUAGCGAACAGGAUUAGAUACCCUGGUAGUCCAUGCCGUAAACGGUGGGCGCUAGGUGUAGGGGUCUUCCACGACUUCUGUGCCGUAGCUAACGCAUUAAGCGCCCCGCCUGGGGAGUACGGCCGCAAGGCUAAAACUCAAAGGAAUUGACGGGG
This 398-nucleotide ribosomal RNA is filed under the name uncultured bacterium. RNAcentral's name for it is "partial 16S ribosomal RNA". It matches the Rfam family "Bacterial small subunit ribosomal RNA", at positions 523 to 918 of the family's 1533-position model. The record is from RNAcentral.